This 554-nucleotide ribosomal RNA is filed under the name uncultured bacterium. Its description in RNAcentral is "partial 16S ribosomal RNA". It matches the Rfam family "Bacterial small subunit ribosomal RNA", at positions 355 to 900 of the family's 1533-position model. The record is from RNAcentral.
UAGGGAAUCUUCCACAAUGGACGCAAGUCUGAUGGAGCAACGCCGCGUGAGUGAAGAAGGUUUUCGGAUCGUAAAGCUCUGUUGUUGGUGAAGAAGGAUAGAGGUAGUAACUGGCCUUUAUUUGACGGUAAUCAACCAGAAAGUCACGGCUAACUACGUGCCAGCAGCCGCGGUAAUACGUAGGUGGCAAGCGUUGUCCGGAUUUAUUGGGCGUAAAGCGAGCGCAGGCGGAAGAAUAAGUCUGAUGUGAAAGCCCUCGGCUUAACCGAGGAAUUGCAUCGGAAACUGUUUUCUUGAGUGCAGAAGAGGAGAGUAGAACUCCAUGUGUAGCGGUGGAAUGCGUAGAUAUAUGGAAGAAUACCAGUGGCGAAGGCGGCUCUCUGGUCUGCAACUGACGCUGAGGCUCGAAAGUAUGGGUAGCGAACAGGAUUAGAUACCCUGGUAGUCCAUGCCGUAAACGAUGAGUGCUAAGUGUUGGGAGGCUUCCGCCUCUCAGUGCUGCAGCUAACGCAUUAAGCACUCCGCCUGGGGGAGUACGACCGCAAGGUUGAAAC